RNAcentral lists this long non-coding RNA (1540 nucleotides) under Sus scrofa (pig). Its description in RNAcentral is "lncRNA (ENSSSCG00035020468.1, ENSSSCG00055027860.1, ENSSSCG00065057709.1, ENSSSCG00070010395.1)". The record is from RNAcentral. Lineage: Eukaryota; Metazoa; Chordata; Mammalia; Artiodactyla; Suidae.
GAUGCUGGAUUUACUGUGCAGGUGGUCAGGCCCAUGGAGGGUUUGUUUCCAUGCAUCUUCUCAGCACACACUCUCCCGGGCUCUUGGCUGAGACCUGAGUCUGGUCCCCGGCUUUCUGCCCAGAGCAGAAAUCCCGCUUCCCUAAGACGCCAGGGAGCUCGCUGGAAAGCGGCCACAGUGCGAGCAGAUAUCCCACUCCAGCCCGGGAGGAACAGAACAGACCAAUGGAACAGAAUAGAGAACCUGGCUAAUGAGCAAAAUCCAAGCACUGCCCACCCCCAUUAGCUCCUACCGGAGUCACAGCUGUCACCGCCGCUUACGUGCAGUCCUGUAUCCUGGUGUUUCCCGAAGGCUGGCUUUUCCUCCCUGGAUCUGUAACUCGACAGUAUAAUAGCAGAAAACUUGGCGGGUUUGCCAGCCUGCCGGGGGGUUGCUGCAUCUGGGCAAAGCAGCCCCUUCACUCACUACCUAUGAUGGGAAGGAGCGUGGAGCCACCGAAGAGGGUGUCCGCUUGGCCUGAGCUUGGCUGAAGCGAGCAGGAUACGUGGCCCAGGAGGCUGAUCCCAUUGGACUAGCCUGUCUGUGGCUUCCUGUUGGGGUCAAUGGAUGGGGAGCCCUCAAGGGGAUUCAGAGGGACAGAAGGUUGCAGGCUGUUGCAGCUGACGGAAUUUGCUGUUGGCAGAGACUGCCUGCUGCCAGACAAGGUUGUGUCUGUUCCACAAAAGCCCAGCUCCCUCUGCCAGGAGCUCUUGGCACCGGAGGUCACCAAGCCCGCUGUGGGGCCUACCUACGCCAUCAACAGUGAUGAUGUCUCAUGUAUGAAUAAUGCCUUGACAGAGCGUUUCUCAACUCCUUCCUGCAAAGAAGGGAUCAGAGAGUCUAGGGGGAAGGUAAGCGCCUGCCCAAGGCCACACGGUUGUGAGGGGGAAGGGCAGGAGUGAAAGCCAAGGUCAGGGUGGGAGCAGAGAUCAGGGCAGGACCAGCCAGCUCCGUGUGCUGUGGACUGAGAGGUUCAAAGGAAGUAGAAAUGUCAAUACAUGGGAAACAGGUGGACUGAAAAAUCGAUGGCAGUGCUGAAGGGUCUUAAGCAAUCAAUAUUUGUGUAGGAUGUGCGGAGAAGCAGCUGAGCUAACAUGAGCUUCAUCUGCUGAAGGUGCUGAUGAGCUAACGUGUGGAAUGCGGAGGACCGAGCAGUUCACAGGAGGGUGUGUAUCAGUUAGCAUGAAACUGCUGCGUAACAAAAUAGCCCCAGGCUCAGGGGCCUAAAGGUCAGCUGAUGGCCUAGUCUGGGCUUGGCCAGAGAAGCUGUUUUUUUUUCUCCAGAGACAGCAGGCCAGCCAGGCCUGUCCUGCUCCUGAUGCUGGCAGAAGCAUGAAAAGACAAAUGCAAAGGUGCAGACACUUGAGACCCAGACCCGGAGCUGGCUGAGAAUGCUCAGGCCCUCCUGGUGCUCUUGGGCAAACAGGGCCCACGGGGGACCCCGCAGGCAGGGGGUGGGGAAGUAGUCUUCACCCCUUCAGUGGGAGGAACUUCAGAGUCC